RNAcentral lists this long non-coding RNA (283 nucleotides) under Gossypium barbadense (sea-island cotton). RNAcentral's name for it is "long non-coding RNA (GBAR_LNC023417)". The record is from RNAcentral. Lineage: Eukaryota; Viridiplantae; Streptophyta; Magnoliopsida; Malvales; Malvaceae.
UAGGCCUUUAUAUAGCCCUCCAAAACGACGUCGUUUUGGGGGCUACACUUAAGCCUCAAAACGACGUCGUUUUGACCAUUGCCCGACCCAUCCGACCCGACCCGCUAGAGGAUCCGCGUGUUUUCGUUUGAAUGGGAUAUUUAUGCGCGCAGUCCUUCCGCUUUUUCAAGAUUUUGCAAUUAAGUCAUUUUUCUUGUUUCCAAUUUGGCCCCAUAAUUUCUCGCGCUUUUCGAUUUAGUCCCCGCUAAUGUGCUGUGUUUUAAUGGAAUGGAAUAAUUGUUGU